This is an RNA transcript of Zingiber officinale, 2436 nucleotides long. It is a transcript of the gene named CBL-interacting protein kinase 19-like, with no coding region annotated. Lineage: Eukaryota; Viridiplantae; Streptophyta; Magnoliopsida; Zingiberales; Zingiberaceae. The record is from RefSeq and is a predicted model, not a curated record. The transcript has 3 exons.
UCGGGACGAGUUCAGCCUUUUCCGUAACUUCGAAGUCAUCGGUCCACCUCCGACGCGUGGCCGAUACGCUCACAUAUAGCUCUCCACAUAAGCGCUGCGCUUCUCCUUCCUCAGUUAGUUCUGAGAUCGGAUUAGGGACUAGGAAUUCGAGCGUCCCCGAUGGCAGAAGCAGCCGCGCCGGAAACGAGCUUGGCCGAGAAGAGGAGGAAGAAGGAUACGGGAGGAGGUGGUCUCCUCCUCGGGCGGUUUGAUGUAGGCAGGCUCCUCGGUGCUGGUUCCUUCGCCAAGGUCUACGUCGCUCGCGACGUGCGCACCGAUGAGCUCGUGGCCAUCAAGGCGCUUGACAAGGAGAAGAUCGUCAAGGGUGGGUUCGCCGCGCACAUCAAGCGCGAGAUCGCCAUCCUCCGCCGUGUACGUCAUCCCUACAUCGUGCAGCUCUUCGAGGUCAUGGCGACCAAGACCAAGAUCUAUUUCGUCAUGGAGUACGUCCGCGGCGGCGAGCUUUUCGGCCGUGUCGCGAAGGGGCGCCUCCUCGAGGACACCGCCCGCCGCUAUUUUCAGCAGCUGAUCUCCGCGGUGUCCUUCUGCCAUGCCAGAGGCGUCUUCCACCGGGACCUCAAGCCAGAGAACCUCCUCAUCGACGAUAAUGGCGACCUCAAAGUGUCUGACUUCGGCCUCUCGGCCGUGGCUGGGCAGAUGCACGUCGACGGGCUCUUGCAUACCUUCUGCGGCACGCCAGCGUACGUCGCUCCGGAGAUUCUCGCCCGCAGGGGCUACGAUGGCGCUAAGGUUGACGUCUGGUCCUGUGGCGUCAUCCUCUUCGUGCUCAUGGCUGGUUACCUCCCCUUCCACGACAGCAGCAUUGUGGCCAUGUACCGGAAGAUCUACAAAGGAUCCUUCCGGUGCCCACGCUGGUUAUCGCAAGACCUCAACCAUCUCCUCCAUCGCCUCCUUGAUGUGAAUCCCCAAUCCCGAGCCACCAUUCCGGAGAUCAUGGAGAAUCCCUGGUUCAGAAAAGGGUUCCGGCACAUCCGAUUUUAUAUCGAAGACAACCAAUUGCAUAGCUUUAACGAUUCAGAUUCAGAAGAUGAACAAUUGAAGAGUAACGAACCCAAGCCGGAUGAGACGGACGAAUCAGGGUCGGAAUCGGAUAGCUCCGUGGCUUCCUGUCCGGCAUCAUUCUACGGCGAUUCCUACGAACAUCAUCCAUCGUUGAGGCCACCAAGCCUUACUGCAUUUGAUAUCAUAUCUUUCUCCAGUGGCUUUGACCUCUCAGGUUUGUUUGAAGAAAAAGCGGAGAUGACCAGGUUCCUGUCCAAGGAGCCUGUCCCAGCAAUAGUAUCUAAAUUGGAAGACAUUGCAAAGGUAGUAAGCUUGAAGGUCAGGAAGAAGGGAAGCCAGAUCAAUUUAGAAGGAACUAGAGAGAGUGAGAAGGGCCCCUUGACGAUCGGCGUGGAUAUAUAUGAGCUUACGCCAUGGAUUGUUGUAGUGGAGGUGAAGAAGAAGGCAGGCGAUGGAGAGGAGUAUGAAGAGUUCUGCAAUAAGGUGCUCAAGCCAGGGUUACAAGAUAUCGUCUAUGAGUCCUCCCACAUUGCACGUAAUACCGAAUAGAAAAAAAGGUAAGAUGGAAAAAUGUUCGAACAUUUUCAAAUGACAAAGGAUAAAACUAUUGAAGAAAUAAGAUUUAUUCAGCUGAAUCAAAAUUGUUGGCACUUAAGCGGGUCAAAAUGGUGAUGAUCAUGAUUCAUGAUGAGGGCUUUACCCGGCUAAAAUCAGAGAAUAAACAGUUUACAUGUGUUGAGCAUUUCAACUCGAGCCUUGGCUGGUUGGUUGUCAAAUGAGACACUGGAGUAGAGGGAUUUUUCUUCAGAUGCUCACUAGUUAUUUGGUGGACAAACCAUUUCUUCUCAUCGACACUCCAAAUGCUGAUAACUUUUGCUGGACUUUAUUUUGAUCUGGAUUUUCCUUUUUUUCCUGGUGUUUAUACAUUCUUACAGUGGACCAUGCAGAUCGCCAUGAAAGACAACUAUCACACCAGCUUCAGCAUUGUUCAUCAAACAUUAUCUGAAGUCGCUCUCUAUUGGAUCAUUGCCUAUUCUGUUUCUUUCCCCCAUUUGCCACGCCUGCUGUGAAUAUGAGUUCAUACGUCGACCACUAACUAAUGAGCCAGUUUGUGUAGCAUGGCUAUGUAUAUAUAAUAUAUACACAUUAGAAUGAGUUAGACUGUGUAUAGCUAUAUUUUCCUUGUAAAUUAACAUUAUAUUUAAUGUUCGGGUAAUCUGAAAAGUUAGGAACUUCUGUUCAGAUUGAUUCUGUGUGUGGGUUCAGUUGUAAAGCAAAUGGCAGCCAAACAAAUCUGAUAUUGUUGGCUGCUGCAAGAUCUAUAGCUUUACUCUUCUUCAUUCGUUGUCAAGUCAUUCAAGUGUUUGAUUCUAC